RNAcentral lists this ribosomal RNA (606 nucleotides) under uncultured bacterium. RNAcentral's name for it is "bacterial SSU rRNA". The stretch from base 1 to 518 matches the Rfam family "Bacterial small subunit ribosomal RNA", at positions 338 to 873 of the family's 1533-position model. The record is from RNAcentral.
CCUACGGGAGGCAGCAGUGGGGAAUCUUGCGCAAUGGGCGAAAGCCUGACGCAGCCAUGCCGCGUGAAUGAUGAAGGUCUUAGGAUUGUAAAAUUCUUUCACCGGGGACGAUAAUGACGGUACCCGGAGAAGAAGCCCCGGCUAACUUCGUGCCAGCAGCCGCGGUAAUACGAAGGGGGCUAGCGUUGCUCGGAAUUACUGGGCGUAAAGGGAGCGUAGGCGGAUAGUUUAGUCAGAGGUGAAAGCCCAGGGCUCAACCUUGGAAUUGCCUUUGAUACUGGCUAUCUUGAGUAUGGGAGAGGUUAGCGGAACUCCGAGUGUAGAGGUGAAAUUCGUAGAUAUUCGGAAGAACACCAGUGGCGAAGGCGGCUAACUGGCCCAUUACUGACGCUGAGGCUCGAAAGCGUGGGGAGCAAACAGGAUUAGAUACCCUGGUAGUCCACGCCGUAAACGAUGAGUGCUAGUUGUCGGCAUGCAUGCAUGUCGGUGACGCAGCUAACGACAUAAGACACUCCGCCGUCGGGAGGUACGGUCGCGAGAAUUAAACUACAAUAGAAGUUAGACGGCGUGAGACGUGCCGAACGGACGACCGACGAGGGAGGUAGG